RNAcentral lists this ribosomal RNA (111 nucleotides) under Danio rerio (zebrafish). Lineage: Eukaryota; Metazoa; Chordata; Actinopteri; Cypriniformes; Danionidae. The record is from RNAcentral.
UUCAACAGCUAUAUCACCCUGCAGCUCGGUUACUCACUGAAGCUAAGCAGGGCUGAGCCUGGUCAGUACCUGCAUAGGAGACCACAUGGGAAAACUAGGCUGCUGUUGGAA